RNAcentral lists this small RNA (135 nucleotides) under Caenorhabditis brenneri. RNAcentral's name for it is "sRNA CBN34327". The record is from RNAcentral. Lineage: Eukaryota; Metazoa; Nematoda; Chromadorea; Rhabditida; Rhabditidae.
AUUUUGAAGGGAGUUAUGCGCCUUUAAAGCUGGAUAUGAGAGAGUGAGAGAUGGCAGAGAAAGAGACAGUCGUUUUCUCUGCCGUCUCUCACUCUCUCAUCUUCAACUUUGAAGGCGCACAACUCCCUUCAGAAU